GCUCCAAUAGCGUAUAUUUAAGUUGCUGCAGUUAAAAAGCUCGUAGUUGGAUUUCGGGUCGGUUCUGUCGGUCCGCCGUUAGGUGUGUACUGACAUGGCCUUCCUUUCUGCCGGGGACGCGCUCCUGGGUUUAAUCGCCUGGGACGUGGAUUCGGCGUUGUUACUUUGAGUAAAUUAGAGUGUUCAAAGCAGGCUUACGC
RNAcentral lists this ribosomal RNA (200 nucleotides) under uncultured eukaryote. RNAcentral's name for it is "partial 18S ribosomal RNA". It matches the Rfam family "Eukaryotic small subunit ribosomal RNA", at positions 588 to 794 of the family's 1831-position model. The record is from RNAcentral.